UAGGGAAUAUUAGAAAUGGACGAAAGUCUGAUCUAGCAACACCGCGUGUGCGAAGAAGGCCUUCGGGUUGUAAAGCACUUUUUGGAAGGAUUAGGAAGGAAUGUACUUCCAGAAUAAGUCUCGGCUAACUACGUGCCAGCAGCCGCGGUAACACGUAGGAGGCAAACGUUAUCCGGAUUUACUGGGCGUAAAGCGCGUGUAGGUGGUUCUGUAAGUAGGGCGUGAAAGCUCCUGGCUCAACUGGGAGAGGCCGUUCUAAACUGCAGAGCUAGAGGAUGGUAGAGGGAGGUGGAAUUCCGGGUGUAGCGGUGGAAUGCGCAGAUAUCCGGGGGAACACCAGUGGCGAUAGCGGCCUCCUGGCCCAUUUCUGACGCUCAGACGCGAAAGCUAGGGUAGCAAACG
RNAcentral lists this ribosomal RNA (402 nucleotides) under uncultured prokaryote. Its description in RNAcentral is "bacterial SSU rRNA". It matches the Rfam family "Bacterial small subunit ribosomal RNA", at positions 355 to 774 of the family's 1533-position model. The record is from RNAcentral.